AUAACGACUCUCGGCAACGGAUAUCUCGGCUCUCGCAUCGAUGAAGAACGUAGCGAAAUGCGAUACUUGGUGUGAAUUGCAGAAUCCCGUGAACCAUCGAGUCUUUGAACGCAAGUUGCGCCCCAAGCCUUUAGGCCGAGGGCACGUCUGCCUGGGCGUCACG
RNAcentral lists this ribosomal RNA (163 nucleotides) under Dictyoneura obtusa. RNAcentral describes it as "5.8S ribosomal RNA". It matches the Rfam family "5.8S ribosomal RNA". From Rfam's summary of the family: 5.8S ribosomal RNA (5.8S rRNA) is a component of the large subunit of the eukaryotic ribosome. It is transcribed by RNA polymerase I as part of the 45S precursor that also contains 18S and 28S rRNA. Functionally, it is thought that 5.8S rRNA may be involved in ribosome translocation. Lineage: Eukaryota; Viridiplantae; Streptophyta; Magnoliopsida; Sapindales; Sapindaceae. RNAcentral also lists the same sequence under 1 other name. The record is from RNAcentral.